This 1355-nucleotide ribosomal RNA is filed under the name Sordaria macrospora. RNAcentral describes it as "eukaryotic LSU rRNA". It matches the Rfam family "Eukaryotic large subunit ribosomal RNA", at positions 47 to 1434 of the family's 3401-position model. Lineage: Eukaryota; Fungi; Ascomycota; Sordariomycetes; Sordariales; Sordariaceae. The record is from RNAcentral.
UAAGCGGAGGAAAAGAAACCAACAGGGAUUGCCCUAGUAACGGCGAGUGAAGCGGCAACAGCUCAAAUUUGAAAUCUGGCUUCGGCCCGAGUUGUAAUUUGUAGAGGAAACUUUUGGUGAGGCACCUUCUGAGUCCCUUGGAACAGGGCGCCAUAGAGGGUGAGAGCCCCGUAUAGUCGGAUGCCGAUCCAAUGUAAAGUUCCUUCGACGAGUCGAGUAGUUUGGGAAUGCUGCUCAAAAUGGGAGGUAAAUUUCUUCUAAAGCUAAAUAUAGGCCAGAGACCGAUAGCGCACAAGUAGAGUGAUCGAAAGAUGAAAAGCACUUUGAAAAGAGGGUUAAAUAGCACGUGAAAUUGUUGAAAGGGAAGCGUUUGUGACCAGACUUGCGCCGUUCCGAUCAUCCGGUGUUCUCACCGGUGCACUCGGGGCGGCUCAGGCCAGCAUCGGUUUUGGUGGGGGGAUAAAGGUCCAGGGAACGUAGCUCCUCCGGGAGUGUUAUAGCCCUGGGCGUAAUGCCCUCGCUGGGACCGAGGUUCGCGCAUCUGCAAGGAUGCUGGCGUAAUGGUCAUCAACGACCCGUCUUGAAACACGGACCAAGGAGUCAAGGUUUUGCGCGAGUGUUUGGGUGUAAAACCCGCACGCGUAAUGAAAGUGAACGUAGGUGAGAGCUUCGGCGCAUCAUCGACCGAUCCUGAUGUAUUCGGAUGGAUUUGAGUAAGAGCGUUAAGCCUUGGACCCGAAAGAUGGUGAACUAUGCUUGGAUAGGGUGAAGCCAGAGGAAACUCUGGUGGAGGCUCGCAGCGGUUCUGACGUGCAAAUCGAUCGUCAAAUCUGAGCAUGGGGGCGAAAGACUAAUCGAACCAUCUAGUAGCUGGUUACCGCCGAAGUUUCCCUCAGGAUAGCAGUGUUGUUCUUCAGUUUUAUGAGGUAAAGCGAAUGAUUAGGGACUCGGGGGCGCUUUUUAGCCUUCAUCCAUUCUCAAACUUUAAAUAUGUAAGAAGCUCUUGUUACUUAAUUGAACGUGAGCAUUCGAAUGUACCAACACUAGUGGGCCAUUUUUGGUAAGCAGAACUGGCGAUGCGGGAUGAACCGAACGCGGGGUUAAGGUGCCGGAGUGGACGCUCAUCAGACACCACAAAAGGCGUUAGUACAUCUUGACAGCAGGACGGUGGCCAUGGAAGUCGGAAUCCGCUAAGGACUGUGUAACAACUCACCUGCCGAAUGUACUAGCCCUGAAAAUGGAUGGCGCUCAAGCGUCCCACCCAUACCCCGCCCUCAGGGUAGAAACGAUGCCCUGAGGAGUAGGCGGCCGUGGAGGUCAGUGACGAAGCCUAGGGCGUGAGCCCGGGUCGAACG